This is a small nuclear RNA of Calliphora vicina (urban bluebottle blowfly), 169 nucleotides long. RefSeq annotates it as U1 spliceosomal RNA. The record is from RefSeq and is a predicted model, not a curated record. The transcript has a single exon. Lineage: Eukaryota; Metazoa; Arthropoda; Insecta; Diptera; Calliphoridae.
AUAAUUACAUCGCGUAGGGGAAACCGUGAUCUCGAAGGCGGCACCCCCGGAGUGAGACUCGAUCAUUGCACAUACGAUGGAGUUGACCUUUGCGAUUAUUCCUAAUGUGAAUUAAUCCUGCGCAAAAUUUUUGUCUUAUAGCCAGGAAUGGUGAAUGUGCCAUCCUGAC